This 73-nucleotide transfer RNA is filed under the name Candidatus Mancarchaeum acidiphilum. Its description in RNAcentral is "Candidatus Micrarchaeota archaeon Mia14 tRNA". It matches the Rfam family "tRNA". From Rfam's summary of the family: Transfer RNA (tRNA) molecules are approximately 80 nucleotides in length. Their secondary structure includes four short double-helical elements and three loops (D, anti-codon, and T loops). The record is from Rfam by way of RNAcentral. Lineage: Archaea; Nanobdellati; Microcaldota.
GGGGCUGUACGCUAACCUGGUAGACUGCUAGCUUAGGGAGCUAGUAACCCGAGUCCAAAUCUCGGCAGCCCCA